RNAcentral lists this ribosomal RNA (567 nucleotides) under uncultured organism. Its description in RNAcentral is "bacterial SSU rRNA". It matches the Rfam family "Bacterial small subunit ribosomal RNA", at positions 227 to 785 of the family's 1533-position model. The record is from RNAcentral.
GAGCCUGCGUUGGAUUAGCUGGUUGGUGGGGUAAAGGCCUACCAAGGCGACGAUCCAUAGCUGGUCUGAGAGGAUGAUCAGCCACACCGGGACUGAGACACGGCCCGGACUCCUACGGGAGGCAGCAGUGGGGAAUAUUGCGCAAUGGGCGAAAGCCUGACGCAGCCAUGCCGCGUGUGUGAAGAAGGCCUUCGGGUUGUAAAGCACUUUCACUUGGGAGGAAACGUACACGGUUAAUACCCGUGAGCUUUGACGUUACCUUGAGAAGAAGCACCGGCUAACUCCGUGCCAGCAGCCGCGGUAAUACGGAGGGUGCGAGCGUUAAUCGGAAUUACUGGGCGUAAAGCGCGCGUAGGCGGAAGGUAAAGUCGGAUGUGAAAGCCCCGGGCUCAACCUGGGAAUUGCAUCCGAUACUGGCCGACUGGAGUGCGAGAGAGGGAGGUAGAAUUCCACGUGUAGCGGUGAAAUGCGUAGAUAUGUGGAGGAAUACCAGUGGCGAAGGCGGCCUCCUGGCUCGACACUGACGCUGAGGUGCGAAAGCGGUGGGGAGCAAACAGGAUUAGAUAC